Molecule: small nuclear RNA, 141 nt
Filed under: Mandrillus leucophaeus (drill)
Lineage: Eukaryota; Metazoa; Chordata; Mammalia; Primates; Cercopithecidae
Description: U4 spliceosomal RNA (ENSMLEG00000010605.1)
Rfam family: U4 spliceosomal RNA
About the family: U4 small nuclear RNA (U4 snRNA) is a component of the major U2-dependent spliceosome. The structure of U4 snRNA from yeast and human has been reported. U4 snRNA presents a k-turn RNA motif in the 5p-SL related to recognition of Snu13 protein.
Source: Rfam by way of RNAcentral
GGGAUUGUGCAGUGGCAGUGUUGUCGCCAGCGAGGUUUAUCCAAGGUGUGAUUAUUGCCGAUUGAAAACUCUUCCCACUAUCCUGCCAUGAUGACUUGAAGUAUAGUCGACGUUGGCAGUGUCUCACAGUCUUUAUGGAGA